RNAcentral lists this ribosomal RNA (242 nucleotides) under uncultured bacterium. RNAcentral's name for it is "partial 16S ribosomal RNA". It matches the Rfam family "Bacterial small subunit ribosomal RNA", at positions 97 to 334 of the family's 1533-position model. The record is from RNAcentral.
GGCGAACGGGUGAGUAACGCGUGGGAAAUCUGCCGAGUAGCGGGGGACAACGUUUGGAAACGAACGCUAAUACCGCAUAACAAUGAGAAUCGCAUGAUUCUUAUUUGAAAGAAGCAAUUGCUUCACUACUUGAUGAUCCCGCGUUGUAUUAGCUAGUUGGUAGUGUAAAGGACUACCAAGGCGAUGAUACAUAGCCGACCUGAGAGGGUGAUCGGCCACACUGGGACUGAGACACGGCCCAG